UCGCCGAAUGGGGAGGGGCGAGCCCUGCAUCGCUUCAAGAGCGUGGGAAGUCUGUCGCACGUUCAAUGGUCGUGCUGGAUGACC
This 84-nucleotide transfer RNA is filed under the name Pseudomonas fluorescens. RNAcentral's name for it is "tRNA-Leu". Lineage: Bacteria; Pseudomonadati; Pseudomonadota; Gammaproteobacteria; Pseudomonadales; Pseudomonadaceae. RNAcentral also lists the same sequence under 1 other name. The record is from RNAcentral.